UAACAGGUCAAAGAAGAAGAAGAGGAAGACAAGAUGGCCGCCGACCUCUCCUUCCCAGGCAAACACACUAUUUUACCGUUUUCUCCACUUGUAAAGCCUGACGGAGGUGUCUGAGGCAGUAUAUCAUGUGGUAAUGGUUCUCCACGCCUUUAGAAACCCACAGUAACCGCCGGAGACCAAGAGAACACGGAGAAAACAGGGAGUGGAGAUUGUGGGCGGAUUUUUCGUGUUUAUAAGCUCAAACUCCAUCCUGGAGCUCCAGAAGAGGCCCUCUGGACUGGGGCCCAAGCAGCGGUGGACUCUCAACAACAACAACAACAACAACUCCGUCAAGUAACCCAAGAGAGGAGGAAGAGAAUGGACAAUUUACAACAAUAUGCACAGACAACAACAAGAAGAAGAGGAGGAAGAAGAAGAAGAAGAGUAAGAAGAUGAGGAGGAGGAAGAGAAUGGAAGGGAAGGAGCAGCACACACUAUUGGUGAGUGUUGAGUUUAUUUUUUCCUUGUUUCCUCCUCCUCCUGCUUCUUGUUGUUGUUGUCUUUUUUCUUCCAUGUGUUGUGUCCCUCCUGGUGUGACAGUUCCUCCUGUGUGUCCAGCAGCUGUCCCCUGCUGAUGGCUUACACUUUCUUCCACCGAGGACUACCCCAGCAGCUUACCUAAGGACAUGGAAACAAA
Molecule: long non-coding RNA, 676 nt
Organism: Eriocheir sinensis (Chinese mitten crab)
Lineage: Eukaryota; Metazoa; Arthropoda; Malacostraca; Decapoda; Varunidae
Exons: 3
Source: RefSeq, a predicted model, not a curated record